Molecule: ribosomal RNA, 253 nt
Filed under: uncultured bacterium
Lineage: Bacteria
Description: partial 16S ribosomal RNA
Rfam family: Bacterial small subunit ribosomal RNA
Source: RNAcentral
UACGUAGGGUGCAAGCGUUGUCCGGAAUUAUUGGGCGUAAAGAGCUCGUAGGCGGUCUGUCGCGUCGGCUGUGAAAACCCGGAGCUCAACUCCGGGCCUGCAGUCGAUACGGGCCGGCUAGAGGUAGGUAGGGGCAAGUGGAAUUCCUGGUGUAGCGGUGAAAUGCGCAGAUAUCAGGAGGAACACCGGUGGCGAAGGCGGCUUGCUGGGCCUUACCUGACGCUGAGGAGCGAAAGCGUGGGGAGCGAACAGG